AGUGUGUUAAAGUUAUUCUGAUAUUGACUGUAGUUCUGAGCUUUGUCUCUAUCCCACCAAACCACUAACUUCUGGAAAUUACUUGUAGACCAAGAUGGGAGGACUCCGUGUGUGGCUCCGUGAGUCUGUGUCUCCUCUUGGUCUUCACAGCUCUCUUCAUGUGACAAAGAAACUUCCUAAAAUACUAAAAGCUAAAGGAGAUUGUUAUCUAAGCUUGAGAUGGAAGGUUGCCAGCGGAAACUUGGAGGAUCACAGCCAGUCGCCUGGGAUUGACCACAGGGAGUGGCAGAGGCAGAAAGCAAAAGACCAGUUGCAAUUAUCCAGAAUCCUGAAUUGAGCCUGUGUUCCCAGUUCCUAGAAACCCUCAAGGUUAUUGGUUUCCUCCUCGCUUAAUAGACCAGUGGAAGAAAUCUACCUCCAGUUCUAUCUUCACAUGAGCAACUGUUUACAGUUUACAAUAUUACUCUGAAAAUCAGUUCUUUUCAAGUUUUAUCUAACACCCACCAGAAGAAACAGAAGAUUAUGAAAAUGGAAUUUGUCAAAGUUCCUCUCCCAACAAUAUGAUAUUUAAUUUUGCUAACAUUUUUUUUUGAACACUUACUAUAUUGCAGACAAUGGUCUAAGUAAAGCAUUUUAUGUGCAUCCUAUCAUGUCAUCAUCACACAGCCCUGUGAGGUAGAUACUAUUAUUAUUAACCACAUUUCACAUUCAAAAAAACUGAGGCUUAGAGAGACUAAGUAAAUUGUCCAAGGUCACACAGCCAUGAAGUGGCAGAGCUGUGGUUAAAACCUAUGUCUGUCUGAUGUUUAAGAUUUUGCUGUUAGCAUUACUUUGAAAUGACAAUAUGAGGGCAUUUUAUGUAUUUUUUUUGCCCCAAUAUGAUCUGCAGAAACUAUGUAUUUUAAGUACUACAUUUCUUUUAUUUACCAAAUUAUUGUCAGAUAAGAAACCGAAAUAAAAGUUUACAGGGUC
Molecule: long non-coding RNA, 972 nt
Filed under: Homo sapiens (human)
Lineage: Eukaryota; Metazoa; Chordata; Mammalia; Primates; Hominidae
Description: SPRY4 antisense RNA 1
Source: RNAcentral